RNAcentral lists this small RNA (30 nucleotides) under Bombyx mori (domestic silkworm). RNAcentral describes it as "ovarian small RNA-17035". The record is from RNAcentral. Lineage: Eukaryota; Metazoa; Arthropoda; Insecta; Lepidoptera; Bombycidae.
GCGUUCUAAGGCGGCACUUACGAGGGCUAU